UUUUGUGAGUAAAUGGGUAUAAGUGUUGUCUAAACACUCCUAAUCCAUCGCUAGCUCUUAUAAUUAGUCAAAUGCAUUGGAUUGGGACACAUUUUGACCAUAAAAACACUAACAAAUCUAUUGAGUUGUUCUAAGCAACUUUUGUUGGUUUUAACCUCUUUUAGGAGUAAAUGGGUAUAAGUGUUGUCUAAACACUUCUUAUCCAUCUCUAACUCUUACAAUUAGUCAAUUGCAUUGGAUUGUGACACAUUUUGACCAUAGAAACACUAACAAAUCUAUUGACCGCUUCUAAGCAAGUUUUGUUGGUUUUAGCCUCUUUUGGGAGGAAAUGGGUUAUAAGUGUUAUCUAAACACUUCUUGUCCAUCCCUAACUCUUAUAAUUAAUCAAUUGCAAAUUUUUUUGGUUUAAACCUCUUUUGGGCGACAAUGGGUAUAAUUGUUGUCUAAACACUCCUAAUCCAUCUCUAACUCUAUAAUUAGUCCAAUGCAUUGGAUUGUGAAACAUUUUGACCAUAGAAACACUAACAAAUCUAUUGACUGCUUCUAAGCAUAUGUUUGUUGGUUUAGCCGCUUUUAGGAUAAAAUAGGUAUAAGUGUUGUCUAAACACUUCUAAUCCAUCUCUAACUCUUAUAAUUAGUCAAAUGCAUUGGAUUGUGAUACCUUUUGACCAUAAGAACACUAACAAAGUUAUUUACUGCUUCUAAGCAAUAUUUUGUUGGUUAUAGCGUCUUUUGUGAGUAAAUGGGUAUAAGUGUUGUCUAAACACUACUAAUCCAUU
RNAcentral lists this small RNA (779 nucleotides) under Arabidopsis thaliana (thale cress). RNAcentral's name for it is "ATSL036930". The record is from RNAcentral. Lineage: Eukaryota; Viridiplantae; Streptophyta; Magnoliopsida; Brassicales; Brassicaceae.